UCUCCAAUAAACAUCUCUAAUGAGGGAGGAGGCCGGAGGAUGGCUGGAUUUGAUUUAUGACUAGAGGAGAAGGUCCACUUCCCACAGCGAAGUGGGCAACCUGCUAGCUCCUCAGCUCCAGAGAAAGGAACUCGAGGAGGAGAGGACCCCGAUUCAGUGUCGGAAGAAGGCCUGCAAGUAACGAAAUUAUGGAGAGGAUAUUGGAUUGCCCACAGAGAAUCAGAAUCAACACAUGGGGAGCAGCCAAGGGAGACUCGACACUUCCGAGAAGUGUCCUCAGGUGGGCCUCAGGACAGACAGCUCCAGUGGAAGAGAGUGGGGAGCCCCUGAGCACCAGUGGCCAGCAGAAUGGCUCACACCACCUGUAGCUACUACCAGGUUCCCAUUCUAAUUCAGGCAUCUGCUCUUCUACAAGUGGCAAUUUGUUUCCGGGAAGGCAGACUCUAUCUCCAGUCUCCAGCGUAAAAGACGAUCAGGCUUAGUUAAUACAGCAGUCCAUUCCCCUGGCCAGUGACUGGAAGAGUGAUGGAAUGAGACGCAAUUCUGGCUAACGCAAGGGCAAGUCUGAGGGCGGGCUUUGGGGGAUGGAUUUUUGUGAUGACAGAAAGAGGUACUUUGCAGCGCCCUCUCUGCUUCUACCAUAUGUUGUCAUUCCUGCCUCUGCCAUGUAAACUGCCAUAGCU
Long non-coding RNA from Phyllostomus hastatus (greater spear-nosed bat), 683 nucleotides. RefSeq lists it as uncharacterized. The transcript is spliced from 4 exons. NCBI's taxonomy places the organism in Eukaryota, Metazoa, Chordata, Mammalia, Chiroptera, Phyllostomidae. The record is from RefSeq and is a predicted model, not a curated record.